This is a long non-coding RNA of Corvus hawaiiensis (hawaiian crow), 2631 nucleotides long. RefSeq lists it as uncharacterized. The transcript has 2 exons. The record is from RefSeq and is a predicted model, not a curated record. Lineage: Eukaryota; Metazoa; Chordata; Aves; Passeriformes; Corvidae.
AGAGGGGACGGCGUCAGAAAAGGGAUGCCAGGGUGAGGGGCACAGCACGGUGCUGGCUGAGGUGGCGGGAAGGAGACAGGAAAGGACAAGGAGAGUGGAGAAUUCGUUGGCUCUGCCCUGCCCGACGAGUGAGGCGGAGGCCUUGGAGACAGCAGGGACAGCAGGGACAGCAGGGAUGGGGGCGGAUGUGGGGGAGCAGAGCCCGUGUCCCCACUCCCCGAGCAGCACAGAGCUGUGAGAGCCCGACGCGCCCGCAGCUGCACCGCGACACCGGCGGCACCUCCCUGGCGAGACACGGAGCUCUCGGAGGAGUGCGGGGCCGGGCCCGCUGCCCCCUGUGAGCUUCCCUUUGUCAUCCUAUGCCUGAGCGAUGCCUGGAGGCUGGGACGGCCAAGGGAGGCCCACGGGCUGCCACAGCCCCGCGGUGACAGCGCCUGGACAGCACACGUGGGACACGCACCGGGGCUGGGACAAGAGUCCUCGUGGGGCUGGGACCACCCUGCGGGACCGAAAUGUCCCCUUGGAGGGCCAGAGCAUCCCCGUGGGGGGCUGGGAGCAGCACCUCCGUGGUAAAAGCAUUGCCUUGUAGGGGCCAGAGCAUCCCCUUAGGACACCAGGAACAUCCUGGGGGGAUGAAAAAUCCCACUGAGGGAGCGGAACAUCCUGGAGGAGGGGCUGGGAUGCAUCCCCUUCAUGUGCCAGGAGGCCUUGGGAAGACAAAGCAUCCCCUUGGGGUGCCAGGAACAUCCUGAGGGGCUGGAAACACCCGUGGGGAGCUGGAGCAUCCCCCAGGGUGACUGGUACCCCGCUGGGCAAGGUGGGAUGCAGCAGCCAGGCCAUAGAUCCAGGAUGUGGAGGGGAUUAUGGGGUGUCACAGAGACCCCCUGUCUGGUGAGCAACUCCCAUGGGGGACAUGGACCGUGGGGGGUUACGUGUAGGGUGGUACCUGGAUGGGGUGCUGGGGGUACUGGCAGUACUGGGAGCGAUGUCACCAUCCUGAUCAGCCCAUCCCUGUGAAGAGAUGGCCCCGUGUGAGGAUGUUCUGGGAGCUCCAGGGAAGGCCCUGUUCUCCCAACUCUGUUUCCUUCUCCAACUUCACAAACCCCACCUGGCACCUCACGCUGAGACUGUGCUGGGACAGUGGAAAAGUUCCCACGUGGAUGGAGAGAAAAUCCCCCCCACGGGGAGCAGAAACUCGCCCUGGGGUGCUCGGAUGCGGUGAUGCAGAACAAGGAGCAGGGAGCGGGGCUCUGUGGGGGAAGGCUCUGGUCACCCCAGCAUCUCCAGCUGGUUUCCAUUGUUUUGGACUCUUCUCCCAAAACUCGAGCCCGUUCACCCAGCUGGGGGUUCACAGCAGGGCAGGGAGCAGCUGGGGGGGCAGGGCUGGAAGGUGGGGAUGAGAUUCCAGGGAAGCCCUCGAGCCCCAGGGCUGGAUGUGAGCUCUGCUCUGGGGAGUGAACCAGGAGCAUCCCCGUGGCAGCCCUGGAGCCACGUUCCUGGGCCACAUCCUCGUGUGGUCCCAGAUGUGUGGGGGACACCCAGCAGGGCGUGAGGUCACCCUGGCACCAGGGCAGGUGCCUGUGUCAACCAGCACAGCACAGUGUGGUGUCUCUCUGUCACAGGGGACAGGUCCUGUGUCGUUGUCACCCAGCACACUGCGGUGUCUCCCUGUCAUGGGGGCGAGUCCCUGUGUCACCCAGCAGCAGUAACAGUGUGGUGUCUCCCUGUCACCCCGUGUCACCCAGCACAGCGUGGUGUCUCCCUGUCACAGGGGACAGGUCACAGGUCCCUGUGUCACCCAGCACAGCGUGGUGUCUCCCUGUCACAGGGGACAGGUCCCUGUGUCCCCCAGCAGCAGGAAGGGCUGUGGCAGCGGUGGCUCCAGCCCCGACGCAGUGACAUCACCCUGCCUGGCUCUCCUGGGGAGGCAAGGGCCAAACCCCCAUCCCCCUUGUCCCUGCAGGGAUCGAGGUUGGUGACAGCCCCACCCUGUGCCCACCCCUGCCCCAGCUUGUCCCCCUCCUGAGCUGAAAUCAGGGGCUUUGGCUGUGAGACAGGGGGGCAGGAGGGUUGGGGACCCCUCAUUUCCCUGCAGAGGGUCAGGAGCUUUGAGGGGUUGAGGUCAGUUUUGGGGGUCCCAUGCUCAGUCAAGGAGGCUGGGGGGGGGUUUUAGGUCCUGAGCAGGGUUGGAGGGAUUCCUGUGGAGUGCUGAGCAGGAUGGGGGAACUUGGGGGUUGUUGCUUUCAGAGGAGCUGCCUCAGUGUGCAGAGGGACCCUCGGGACCUUUCCCAGUGCUGUUGACUGGGAGCUGAGUGGGCAUCCCAGUUAACUGAGCUUAGGUGGGGAGGCAAAAGCAUAGCCAAGACCAGCCUUGAGUUUGGGAAGCUUUUCCAUGUGGGGUCCUCCAGGUCUGGGCAGAAACAAGUAUUUUAUUUUAUGACUUAUUUUAUUGUUUAUUUUAUUUAGUUUAAUUUUGCUGGUUUGUCAGCUGAGGAAGCACAGGAUGAGAAUUAUAAGGCGGUGAAGUACCCCGUGUGUCUGUGCUUUUGUUUAUGUGUGUGUCUUUCUUGAGGCUUCUCUGUUACAGCUGAAGUUUUAUAAAAUAGAUUUAUCCAUACCAUAAAAAUAAAA